This is a long non-coding RNA of Platichthys flesus (European flounder), 682 nucleotides long. RefSeq lists it as uncharacterized. The transcript has 4 exons. NCBI's taxonomy places the organism in Eukaryota, Metazoa, Chordata, Actinopteri, Pleuronectiformes, Pleuronectidae. The record is from RefSeq and is a predicted model, not a curated record.
CAGAAACUUAAAAUGGAUGAUAAGAGUAAAAAACGCCCGGGUGGCGCUGAGAAGCAUCGGGAAAGAAAGCUGAAGUCUCUGGAGGUGGAGGCUGCUCCAUGUGCCCAACUGACGGACCUGUGUGGAGCCGGUUCACCGCCCAGCAGCAGCAGGUGACCCGGGAGACGAGCGAGGAGGACUGGACAUGAGGAGCGAGUGGAGGCAGACAUGGUUGUUGUGAUAUAUUUGAGGAGUCGUUCUCCCUCUGUUUUACAUGUGGACAUUCAGGACCACUGUUAGAAUUUGGUUGACCACUUGACAUGGUGAUCCAUGUUCGAGGACUUGCUCUCUGUCUGCCUCCACUCUCUGCCUUUACUGUACCAAAGUUUGUCUGUUGAGUCUCCUCUAGUCUGGUUGACCACUUGACAUGUGAGAGCCUGAGGAGUUGUUUUCCAGACACAGGUAGAGCUGGCAGGGGCGUCACCCUGGGCCUGUCCUUUUGGGCUGGGCUUCAGCUGCAGAUCUAAAGGCUGCUUCAAGGGGCAUGGGCCUCAGCCUUUUUCUUUGCUUCUGCACCUUACAACAUACAUCAAACCUCAUUUUCACACAUCCAAACACUGUUAACACCACUGACGAUUAACAUAUUUUACACAUCCCACUACGUAGUUAGAGCUAUCUUGAUUUGGAGUUAAAUAAAUUUACU